UAUUUUUUCUUUAAUUUUUUUUCAGCUUUCUUCAAAGGUUUUCUCAUUUGGAAUAAAUAAUUGAACUAUGAGAAGACCUGGAAGAAAGAAGACAGUUUCCAUCCCACUGUUUACAGGUGCAGGUGCCCCAGUGCCAGCAGUGAGUUGUGGUUCCUGUGAGACAAGGAAGGAGAUAAGGAAAAAGAGUUGAGAGAGAGGAGCUGGAUCUGGUUCUCCUUGCUAUGUGGACUGGAGUUGUUCUUGUCAUGCUGCUGUUCCCGUGAAGUUUGAUAUACUGCUAUUGUGUGGAAAGUAAUGCAAGUACAGACCAUUCACUAUUUGUGACAAUAUCCAGAAAAGUGAUGGUACAUAAUUUAAUCAAAGGAUAUUCGCACCUGUUCUCCAGUAAUU
This 390-nucleotide long non-coding RNA is filed under the name Phasianus colchicus (ring-necked pheasant). RNAcentral's name for it is "lncRNA (ENSPCLG00000016597.1)". Lineage: Eukaryota; Metazoa; Chordata; Aves; Galliformes; Phasianidae. The record is from RNAcentral.